CAUAUCUGGUUGAGAUCAAGCAUUCCAGAUGGUCAACCCAAAUUGUUACUUUCUAUAAUCCCAUCUUCCAACUACCCAUUGUUGAACUUCAUGCUCACUACUUCCAUAUAUGGAGCAGUUUCUUACAGACUUUUUGAUUUGACAAAUACAUUGAAAGUAGCAUUUGUCCCCAGUAGGGACAAUAAGCGCCUUGCAUACAACAUAAUUACAGGAGCAGUGAUUGCAAGUGUUCUGUACUUCAUCUCCUUUAUAUUCUUAAAAAUCCCUCAGAUACUGGUGUGACAACAAGGCUGCAAGCUCCUGAAUCAGUUUCCUUUGAACACAUGAGAAGAACGUUGUUCCACUUCUAGAUUUUUCACCCCAACAAAAACAUUGAAGCUACAGAAUGGAUUCAUUUCAUACUUUUCACUGGCGAGAUAAAUGGAAAAGGAUGUGCUUAGAGUUUGUGACAUAUAUUGUAUAGGGGAAAAGUUAGUAAUUGAGAUGAUCUCCAAGGUAGGGCUAUUUGUUUUAUUGUUUUUUCAUUUAUUCGCCACCACAUUAAAAUGAUUGC
Molecule: unclassified non-coding RNA, 553 nt
Filed under: Hevea brasiliensis (rubber tree)
Lineage: Eukaryota; Viridiplantae; Streptophyta; Magnoliopsida; Malpighiales; Euphorbiaceae
Source: RNAcentral